RNAcentral lists this ribosomal RNA (464 nucleotides) under uncultured bacterium. Its description in RNAcentral is "partial 16S ribosomal RNA". It matches the Rfam family "Bacterial small subunit ribosomal RNA", at positions 28 to 507 of the family's 1533-position model. The record is from RNAcentral.
GACGAACGCUGGCGGCGUGCUUAACACAUGCAAGUCGAACGGAAAGGCCCUGCUUGCAGGGUACUCGAGUGGCGAACGGGUGAGUAACACGUGGGUGAUCUGCCCUGCACUUCGGGAUAAGCCUAGGAAACUGGGUCUAAUACCGGAUAGGAGCCAUUUUUAGUGUGAUGGUUGGAAAGUUUUUUCGGUGUAGGAUGAGCUCGCGGCCUAUCAGCUUGUUGGUGGGGUAAUGGCCUACCAAGGCGGCGACGGGUAGCCGGCCUGAGAGGGUGGACGGCCACAUUGGGACUGAGAUACGGCCCAGACUCCUACGGGAGGCAGCAGUGGGGAAUAUUGCACAAUGGGCGCAAGCCUGAUGCAGCGACGCCGCGUGGGGGAUGACGGCCUUCGGGUUGUAAACUCCUUUCGCUAGGGACGAAGCUUUUGUGACGGUACCUAGAGAAGAAGCACCGGCUAACUACGUG